GAAUAUAUGAAAAGGACACCACGGGACGCUUUACUCUGGAUGUACCAUAUCUGAUGAAAAUCUCGUACCACAGGGGUUGCUCGAUGGAUGGAUGGAUUACAACCCUGACGAAGCAGCGUGAAGCUCAGGAGAACAACAGGUGCCCGACACUAUCAUUGCUGGGCAAAAUUUGUGCACCUUUGGUGGAAGAGGCUCGUCGGCCGACUCUGUUAUCUGAUUCACCUUGGGGUUGACAGUUUUGUUCCUGAGAACUUCAUGUGCGUACAGCGGGGCACAAUCAACCACAAGUUAGUCAACGAUUUGAUGCAGCGCCAGACCACUGUACCAGCCGUACCAGAGAGCAGGCAAUCAUUCGCUCGUCACAGGCAACAGCAGAGAAGCUGGAUUCCAUUGCAUAAAUGGCAUGCCACUUCACAUUGAGGGCCACCAGACAGUGCUUCCAAAAGAAGCAUAGCUGAAACUAGUUUGGCGAAUCCUUGCAGAUUUCUGUUUGGCGAUGUUGUCCGGCAUGGCAAAAACAGAAAAUGACACAAUAAAGAAUAUAAAUCUGUGAAUAGUAAGUGAGUUCUUACGCAUUUCUCAGUCAACACCACCCUACAUGCAGAUUAGGGCCACACUGCAGUACUUAUGUGCCUCUCAGGAUACAACACUGCACGCAAAACAGGACUUGCAAAAGCCGAUGAGCCCUAACGUCCGACUCUCUAGUAAAACCGGUGUCCACACUGUACAUUCCAGUAAGACCAGUGCCCACACUGGACUGUCCAGUAAGGCCAGUAACACUGGACUAUCCAGUAAGACCAGUGUUCAGACUUUGUUAAAAAUCCGAUAUGACACUGGUUACUGGUUUCCAGUCUGUCCAGUAUACUGGUUUUUUCA
This is a long non-coding RNA of Ornithodoros turicata, 876 nucleotides long. RefSeq lists it as uncharacterized. The transcript is spliced from 4 exons. Lineage: Eukaryota; Metazoa; Arthropoda; Arachnida; Ixodida; Argasidae. The record is from RefSeq and is a predicted model, not a curated record.